GGGAAUGUGGCUUAGUGGUAGAGUGCUUGCUUUGCACUCAUGAAGCCCUGGGUUCGAUUCCUCAGUACCA
RNAcentral lists this transfer RNA (70 nucleotides) under Dipodomys ordii (Ord's kangaroo rat). It matches the Rfam family "tRNA". From Rfam's summary of the family: Transfer RNA (tRNA) molecules are approximately 80 nucleotides in length. The record is from Rfam by way of RNAcentral. Lineage: Eukaryota; Metazoa; Chordata; Mammalia; Rodentia; Heteromyidae.